UCCAGGCCCCGGACUACUACGUGCAGGAGACCUGGAGCCGGGAGCCCUACUACGCGCGCCGGGAGCCCGAGCCCGAGCCCUUCUCGCCGCCGCUGCCCGCGGGGACCGGGGACGGGGAGCGGGAGCCGCGCCCGCCGGAGCCCAGGCCGCCCAAGAAGGCGACCAAGCCCAAGAAAGCGCCCAAGAGGGACAAGUUGGCUCCGGAGACGCGUCCACCAGGUAAAAAUAGCAACAGAAAAGGCGUGAGGACUAAGAGCUCUGAGAAGGCUGCCAGCGGUGAUCACAGCGUUCCCGUGGCCCGUGGUGAUGUCAGCAAGGGUUGCCCACCUCUUGGUCUGGAAACCUUAAAAAUCACAGACUUCCAGCUUCAUGCAUCUACUUCCAAGCGCUACGGCCUCGGGGCGCAUCGAGGGAGACUCAACAUCCAGGCAGGUAUUAAUGAAAAUGACUUUUACGAUGGGGCGUGGUGUGCAGGAAGGAAUGACCUCCAUCAGUGGAUUGAAGUGGAUGCUAGACGUCUGACCAAAUUCACUGGUGUCAUCACUCAAGGAAGGAACUCACUUUGGCUG
Leptonychotes weddellii (Weddell seal) is the source of this 569-nucleotide non-coding RNA. The record is from RefSeq and is a predicted model, not a curated record. NCBI's taxonomy places the organism in Eukaryota, Metazoa, Chordata, Mammalia, Carnivora, Phocidae.